RNAcentral lists this transfer RNA (74 nucleotides) under Acidimicrobiales bacterium. RNAcentral describes it as "tRNA-Thr". It matches the Rfam family "tRNA". From Rfam's summary of the family: Transfer RNA (tRNA) molecules are approximately 80 nucleotides in length. Their secondary structure includes four short double-helical elements and three loops (D, anti-codon, and T loops). Further hydrogen bonds mediate the characteristic L-shaped molecular structure. tRNAs have two regions of fundamental functional importance: the anti-codon, which is responsible for specific mRNA codon recognition, and the 3' end, to which the tRNAs corresponding amino acid is attached (by aminoacyl-tRNA synthetases). tRNAs cope with the degeneracy of the genetic code in two manners: having more than one tRNA (with a specific anti-codon) for a particular amino acid; and 'wobble' base-pairing, i.e. permitting non-standard base-pairing at the 3rd anti-codon position. Lineage: Bacteria; Bacillati; Actinomycetota; Acidimicrobiia; Acidimicrobiales. The record is from RNAcentral. RNAcentral also lists the same sequence under 1 other name.
GCCCGAAUAGCUCAGUUGGCCAGAGCAACGCUCUUGUAAAGCGUAGGUCGUGGGUUCGAAUCCCACUUCGGGCU